GACGAACGCUGGCGGCGUGCCUAAUACAUGCAAGUUGAACGCUUCUUUCUUAUCGAACUUCGGUUCACCAAGAAAGAGGAGUAGCGAACGGGUGAGUAACACGUGGGUAACCUGCCCAUCAGCGGGGGAUAACACUUGGAAACAGGUGCUAAUACCGCAUAAUGCUUUUUCUCACAUGAGAGAAAGCUGAAAGGCGCUUUUGCGUCACUGAUGGAUGGACCCGCGGUGCAUUAGCUAGUUGGUAGGGUAACGGCCUACCAAGGCAACGAUGCAUAGCCGACCUGAGAGGGUGAUCGGCCACACUGGGACUGAGACACGGCCCAGACUCCUACGGGAGGCAGCAGUAGGGAAUCUUCGGCAAUGGACGAAAGUCUGACCGAGCAACGCCGCGUGAGUGAAGAAGGUUUUCGGAUCGUAAAACUCUGUUGUUAGAGAAGAACAAGGAUGAGAAGAGAAUGUUCAUCCCUUGACGGUAUU
RNAcentral lists this ribosomal RNA (477 nucleotides) under Enterococcus italicus. RNAcentral describes it as "bacterial SSU rRNA". It matches the Rfam family "Bacterial small subunit ribosomal RNA", at positions 28 to 479 of the family's 1533-position model. The record is from RNAcentral. Lineage: Bacteria; Bacillati; Bacillota; Bacilli; Lactobacillales; Enterococcaceae.